This 465-nucleotide ribosomal RNA is filed under the name uncultured bacterium. RNAcentral describes it as "partial 16S ribosomal RNA". It matches the Rfam family "Bacterial small subunit ribosomal RNA", at positions 28 to 507 of the family's 1533-position model. The record is from RNAcentral.
GACGAACGCUGGCGGCGUGCUUAACACAUGCAAGUCGAACGGAAAGGCCCUGCUUGCAGGGUACUCGAGUGGCGAACGGGUGAGUAACACGUGGGUGAUCUGCCCUGCACUUCGGGAUAAGCUUGGGAAACUGGGUCUAAUACCGGAUAGGACCGCACUUUAGUGUGUGUGGUGGAAAGUUUUUUCGGUGUAGGAUGAGCUCGCGGCCUAUCAGCUUGUUGGUGGGGUAAUGGCCUACCAAGGCGGCGACGGGUAGCCGGCCUGAGAGGGUGUACGGCCACAUUGGGACUGAGAUACGGCCCAGACUCCUACGGGAGGCAGCAGUGGGUAAUAUUGCACAAUGGGCGCAAGCCUGAUGCAGCGACGCCGCGUGGGGGAUGAAGGCCUUCGGGUUGUAAACUCCUUUCGCUAGGGACGAAGCUUUUUGUGACGGUACCUAGAUAAGAAGCACCGGCUAACUACGUG